UUAAAAAAUAUCUGAAAAAAUAAAUCGAUAAAAAAAAAUCUUAACAUAAAUUUAACAAAUAGAAAAAAUAAAUAGCAAUAACAUAAAUAAAAAUAAAAAUAUUCUAAGUGAGGAUACAAAAUUGGUACACCCGCAUAAUAAGAUUAGAAAAAUGAAAUCUAUCAAAAUCUUGAAAAGAAAAACUCUAAAUUAGAAGAGAAACAAA
RNAcentral lists this long non-coding RNA (205 nucleotides) under Vigna radiata. Its description in RNAcentral is "long non-coding RNA (VRAD_LNC002004)". Lineage: Eukaryota; Viridiplantae; Streptophyta; Magnoliopsida; Fabales; Fabaceae. The record is from RNAcentral.